UACGGGGGGGGCAAGCGUUGUUCGGAAUUACUGGGCGUAAAGCGUGCGCAGGCGGUUUUGUAAGCCAGAUGUGAAAGCCCCGGGCUUAACCUGGGAAUGGCAUUUGGGACUGCAAGGCUGGAGUGUGGCAGAGGAGACUGGAAUUCCUGGUGUAGCAGUGAAAUGCGUAGAUAUCAGGAGGAAUACCGAUGGCGAAGGCAGGUCUCUGGGCUGACACUGACGCUCAUGCACGAAAGCGUGGGGAGCAAACAGG
Molecule: ribosomal RNA, 253 nt
Filed under: uncultured bacterium
Lineage: Bacteria
Description: partial 16S ribosomal RNA
Rfam family: Bacterial small subunit ribosomal RNA
Source: RNAcentral